This 276-nucleotide long non-coding RNA is filed under the name Lathyrus oleraceus (garden pea). RNAcentral's name for it is "Pisum sativum (pea) long non-coding RNA (PSAT_LNC009168)". The record is from RNAcentral. Lineage: Eukaryota; Viridiplantae; Streptophyta; Magnoliopsida; Fabales; Fabaceae.
UUUUGUCUUAAAAAGACCCACAAGAUUCCCAAAAUUGCUAAACUCAAGAAUCCUAUUAUAACAAUCUUUGAUCGAUAACCCGUGCUUAUGCCUCCACCUAACAAAGCGAUCCUCUUCAUGGAUGUUAGGCUUUACAUCCUGCAAAAUUUGCAUUAUUUCGUCUAACAACAAAGCAUCAACAUUAUUCAAAAUCACACCAUUAAAGCCAAUAUCACACUCCAAAGAAUCAUUUCUCCAAACCCCCGCAUCACCCACUUUAAGAAAAUUCGGUUAACA